UUUUGAUCACUGUACUGACCAUAAUCCACAAAGAGCUAAUUAAGUAAUGAUGUAUUGCUGUCAGCUGCAUGAAUGUUAUCUGAUUUAAGUAUUGUAUACUCCUGUAGCUAAAAGAUAUAAAAACCCUGUAACAACAAUAAACUUUGCUUCUUGCGCCACCAGAGCCUAAGCCCGUCUGUCCCAGGCGUCUUGAGCUGGUCUCCGUCAUCUGGUGCCGAAACCCGGGAUACUCGGACUCCAAUGACAAAGGCGUCGCUUCCUCCCACGAGCCGCGGUUGCGUUAUGGGAACAAUGAAAUCAUUAAAAACCGAUAACGGGCCAGCUUAUGUAAGUAACGGUUUUGCAACCUUUUGUCGACAUUUUAAAAUUUACCAUAAAACUGGAAUUCCAUAUAAUCCAGUAGGCCAAGGCAUAGUAGAAAAAUUUAAUCAUUUAUUGAAAACUCAACUAAAGAAAAUAAAAAGAGGGACAUGAGGAAAUAAAGAUACUCCAUCCUCUAUGUUAUCACAUGCA
Tympanuchus pallidicinctus (lesser prairie-chicken) is the source of this 513-nucleotide long non-coding RNA. RefSeq lists it as uncharacterized. NCBI's taxonomy places the organism in Eukaryota, Metazoa, Chordata, Aves, Galliformes, Phasianidae. The transcript is spliced from 2 exons. The record is from RefSeq and is a predicted model, not a curated record.